Molecule: long non-coding RNA, 4401 nt
Organism: Diorhabda carinulata
Lineage: Eukaryota; Metazoa; Arthropoda; Insecta; Coleoptera; Chrysomelidae
Exons: 2
Source: RefSeq, a predicted model, not a curated record
AUUUCCAUUUAUCUUUAUUAUCCAUUAUUAUCAUUUGCAAUAACUGUUAGAUACCCGCUUUCGUAUUACAUCGAAUCUAAAUUUAAAUUUGCCUCUCCCAUGAGAAUAGAUUUGAAACUAUUCAGCUAGAAUCCGAAUUAAAUAUUCAUUCAAAUACGUGUGUGCAUCAAAAUUUCAUGCUUCUACUAAAAAUCAAAUUCACCUUUUUAACCAAAUAUUCUUCCAUAGUAAUUCUGUGUAUUAUUAGAAGUUGAUGUAAAACAGUCAGAGCGAUAACAGUGAGUAACGGGUAACACCUAAUAAAUAAUUGAAUUCCAAAUACUCCUUAUAGUGGAGACAUUGUGGCGAAUUUGGUGUUCAAUUUGAGAAAUACAGUGAAUAGGAAUUGCAAGACAAUGAAAGUGAAACAGAAAUUGAUUCAAACGGUGGAUCCAGUAGAUCAGAAGCUAGCCAAAUAUGCUCUGGAAUGUUUUCACCAAGAGAAACAAGAUGACGCUUUGUGUGUUUUAUUGCUUUUUUAUUGUUUGAUCGCUUCAUAAUAUUGAAACAUAGUCCCUAAGAAGUUGUCCAGAACCAUUGAACUGCAAAAAAAAAGAUGGAAACUCAGCAGGAGAGCAUUAUGUAUGCAACACCGAACCUAGAUCUGUACAACCUGUAAGUAUAGAUUCAAAUAAUCAUUGUAAUCACCUUAAUAGUUAUUUGUAUGCCAAGGACUGAAAGUGCUACUUUGUUUGACGAGUCUGAGAAUUGCGAGACGAGCGACGCGAGGCGAACAACAGACGAGUCCAACAAAGUAGUAUUUCAGCCGCGGCGUACACAACAUUUUUUAGACGACGCAUUAAGAACGGCCGCAUUGCUUUUUUCGGUGAAAUCAGGUGGCGUGGAUUCGAGUAACUCUUCAUCGCUGAUCAUCAUAAUUGUUAUUCAUUAAUUUAGACAAAACUUCGGAUACAACAAAUAAUUUCAGAAAAUUGAAAAUUUAAGGUUAUGCAAAAUCAUCGUGAAAUGUGAAACUGUCAACUAUCAACAUUGAACUGGUUAGCGUCACAGUUUAGGAAGUUGAAGUUGUCUACUCCAGAGCGUCCCGAAAGUGUUUUGCAGUACGGAACUGUCACUUUCACUACAUAGAACACUCAAAACGCAGCUUUCAGUUUUUAAAUAGAUACAGAACGAACAACUUUCAGAUGGCGUCGUCUAAAAGAGUAUUUUUAAACCCUCCGUUGCUCGCGCGGCAUCUACAAGACACCGGGGAACCUUCUUUUUCUGGUACUGGUAGAAAGCAAUUCAAUAGAGACUUCUCCCACUCUACAGCUUCCAAAUUUAGACUGAAGAAUAUUCAAAGCGAUUGGUCAUAGUUCAUGUACACACGUUGAACGGUUGGGAGUUAUAAUUUGAAAUCUAAGCCUCUUAGACGCUACGGGAGCGCUUCUGUUUCAAGACUGUCCAAAUUUUUAUUAAAUAUAUUUUAUUGUGAUCUGAUUGAGAUUUGUGUUUUUACAAAGGUGAGUUUUACAUAUUGGAUUUAUAAACCUCUUGAUAAAAAAUAUGUUGAGUUUUUGCAGAGGCUGGAAUUGGAAUCUGAUUAAGAAUGAUCAGUCAGACAAACGAUAGCAGUGAAGGCGGAGAAGACUACUUAGAGAAAUAAAAAGAAAAUACUGACACAGAAUAGGAAGGUUCGAAUGGAGAUGAAGAGGAAAACCAAGAUGAUUUAGAAUAUCAUGCCAAGUUUGUAUUCGGAAGAGAUGGAACAACUAAAUGGAGGUUAGAUACCCCUGCUUCGACACGUUCACAUAACUUUGUUAGUCAUUUACCUGGCUUUAAGGGCACAGGGAAGCUGGCACAGGCCGUUUCGACAUGUUGGAGUAUGUUUUUCACUGUAAAUCACACUAAUAAGUAUAUUUGUAGCAAAAUAGGAUCGUUAAGCAGAGAAAGAGAUUGCAAAAAUACAAAUUUGGAGGAAAUGGAAGCUUUUAUAGGACUUUUGUACAUGACAGGAUUUCGUAGAAACAGCAGAAUAAAUACUGGAGAUCUUUGGGCCACUAACGGUUCUGGUAUAGAACUUUUUCGAAUGACUAUUCCACUCUCUUACAAAGUGUACGUUUUGACGAUAAAGACGUCAGAAAUAAGGAGAGAGUCAUUGACAAAAUUGCUCCUAUUUGGCAAAUAUUUGAGUUCUUUUAUGGUAAAUUGUCAGAAAAGCUAUUGCGUUGGUGAAUAUGUUACAAUUGAAGCCUCGGCAUUUCGAGGCAAAUGUCCAUUUCGUCAAUAUACACCAUCCAAGUCGUCUAAGUAUGGCAUAAAGAUCUUAUCCGUGGGGGAUGCAAGAACUUAUUACACUUACAACUUGAAAAUAUACGUGGGGAGACAGCCUGAUGGCCCUUACCAAGAUGAUGAUAGUGCAAGCUCGACAACGAAAAUAUUGUGCUUACCAAUUUUUGGUUCUGCGGAAUGCCACCGAUGAUAACUCGUUUAUCAGUUAUGAACUAGUAACUGACCUCCAAAGAAAUCACAGACUUAGUUAUGUCGGAACCAUAAGAAAAAAUAAACGACAACUUCCACUGAACUUUGUGGCAGGACGUGGUCGAAAUGAAUAUACAUCAAAGUUCGCUUUUCAAGGAACUUCGACAUUGGUUUCGUACAUUCUAAAAAAGAAUAAGAAUGUUAUUCUACUUUCUAGUACGCAUCACGACUCGGACAUAGACCCUUGCAACAGGAUAAAGAGAAAGCCAGGUAACGUGUUAUUCUACAACCAAACGAAAUCGGGAGUUGACAAAUUGUGUGCGAUGUCUCUAAGAAUACCAACCGUUGGCCCAUGACAGUGUUAAAUUUAGCAGGUAUUACUAACAUUAUUAAUGAGAGAAAUAAAAUCGACGGAUCGAACAAAAGAAGACAUUUUUUAAAAAAAGUAGCCUUGGACUUAAGAACUAUAUACAGCACAGGUCAAAAACAACUUGCUUGCCUAAAGAUUUGCGAAAACGGACCAUUGAAAUAGCAGAAGAAGAAUACAAUACCAGUACCAGUAAAAGUGGCCUGCAGGCUACAAUGACAAAUCCUGAACCAAGGAACUCGGGAAAUUCACGGAAGCGAUGCUACAUUUGUGAAAAGUAAAAAAAUCGCAUGACUCAAUACAAAUUCGUAGAGUGUAAUAAGUUCAUUUGCUUGGAACAUGCAAAAAAAUUUGCGGCGUUUGUGUUGAAUAAAUGUAACGUCGCUUCUUUUUGAGCAUGUUAUUUUAAUUUCAUAACUAUUAUUUAUGACUUACUUUUUGGAAAGUUGUAGUCGUGAGCUUUACUAAUAAUUACUCACAAAAAAAUAUGCGUUUUCUAGGAAUAACUGCAGUUUAUUUUACUGAUUCAGAAUUUGAGUUCGAAUGAUCGUAUGGAUACAGAAACCUAGUACUAUUUCACAGAAGUAUAUAGUAUGGGAAACUACAAACUUCCAUCAUAUGUAGAGUUUCUUAUGGAAGAUAUCAAGUGACUACUAAAAAGUAAAUUGCGAAAUUGAUAUUAAAUAUUAAUUAGCUAUAGUUUUUCCUUACCUCUCUAUUUUUUUCUAGUUUAUUCAUGAUGUAGUACACCAAUAUUAAAGCCUGGUUUUGGCUGAACUUGGAAAUUCCAGAACCGGCUUUGAAUUUUCGAACAUAUAUCCAACAAAGUUGUUGCAUUUUUAUUUAAUUUUGAGUGAAUGAAAAAAUCUUAUCAAACAAGGAACAUCUAUAAUAAGAUAUUAAUUUGAACAAAUGUUAUGAAUUUUGACUAUUUCAAAUGUAAUGAUGAACUGUAGCGAAUUACAAUAACAAUAAAACACAGUAACUAAAAACAAGUAGCAUACAUAAAUAACAAAUAUAAUAUUUUUCUUAUUUAUUUAUACUAUUUCUAUCGAUAGGGUGAAUUUAUCCACUGUCUCUCACUUAUUCAAUUAAUUUAAUGGCAGUGAUUCACAGAAAUAUAGCGAAUUUUUGCCGUUAGUAACCAUGGAUGAAACGUGAGUCCAUCACUUCACACUCGAAACAAAAGAUUAAUCAAAACAUUGGACUGAAAGGGAGAACCAGUUCCAAAGAAGGCAAAGACCUUUUCAUCUACAGACAAGAUCAUGACGUAGAGAAAUCAAGCAAAAAUGGCUGCAUUCGACUAAGAAGAGAGUGUUGUUCCAACAAAAGAAUGCCAGGUCACAUAUCUGUUAUUGUAAUGAUCAAAAUUAAUUAAUUGAAGUUUGAAUUGCUACCUUAUGUACCCUAUUCGCCCGUUAAGCCCCCUCGGAUUAAUUUCUGUUCUCUGACUUGGGAAAAUGGCUCAGUGGUCAAGGAUUUGCCAGCUAUAAAGAGAAGAUAUCGACAAUCAAUGACUAUUCUGAGGAACUUGAAGAUUCUUUUCAUAAAAAGGUUAUCGAAAUUAUUGAACA